This 429-nucleotide ribosomal RNA is filed under the name Chloroflexota bacterium. Its description in RNAcentral is "Chloroflexi bacterium partial 16S ribosomal RNA". It matches the Rfam family "Bacterial small subunit ribosomal RNA", at positions 355 to 776 of the family's 1533-position model. Lineage: Bacteria; Bacillati; Chloroflexota. The record is from RNAcentral.
UGGGGAAUAUUGCACAAUGGGCGCAAGCCUGAUGCAGCCAUGCCGCGUGUAUGAAGAAGGCCUUCGGGUUGUAAAGUACUUUCAGCGGGGAGGAAGGGAGUAAAGUUAAUACCUUUGCUCAUUGACGUUACCCGCAGAAGAAGCACCGGCUAACUCCGUGCCAGCAGCCGCGGUAAUACGGAGGGUGCAAGCGUUAAUCGGAAUUACUGGGCGUAAAGCGCACGCAGGCGGUUUGUUAAGUCAGAUGUGAAAUCCCCGGGCUCAACCUGGGAACUGCAUCUGAUACUGGAAAGCUUGAGUCUCGUAGAGGGAGGUAGAAUUCCAAGUGUAGCGGUGAAAUGCGUAGAGAUCUGGAGGAAUACCGGUGGCGAAGGCGGCCCCCUGGACGAAGACUGACGCUCAGGUGCGAAAGCGUGGGGAGCAAACAGG